RNAcentral lists this ribosomal RNA (254 nucleotides) under uncultured Methanosaeta sp. Its description in RNAcentral is "partial 16S ribosomal RNA". It matches the Rfam family "Archaeal small subunit ribosomal RNA", at positions 1085 to 1338 of the family's 1478-position model. Lineage: Archaea; Methanobacteriati; Methanobacteriota; Methanomicrobia; Methanotrichales; Methanotrichaceae. The record is from RNAcentral.
UGACGGGUACACUGUGGGGACCGCCGCUGCUAAAGCGGAGGAAGGAAUGGGCAACGGUAGGUCAGUAUGCCCCGAAUAUCCCGGGCUACACGCGAGCUACAAUGGUUGGUACAAUGGGUAUCUACCCCGAAAGGGGACGGGAAUCUCCUAAAACCAAUCUUAGUUCGGAUUGAGGGCUGCAACUCGCCCUCAUGAAGCUGGAAUCCGUAGUAAUCGCGUUUCAACAGAACGCGGUGAAUACGUCCCUGCUCCUU